RNAcentral lists this long non-coding RNA (749 nucleotides) under Homo sapiens (human). RNAcentral describes it as "non-protein coding lnc-LINC02210-CRHR1-1:2". The record is from RNAcentral. Lineage: Eukaryota; Metazoa; Chordata; Mammalia; Primates; Hominidae.
GUUUAUUAAUCCUUGGAAAGAAUUACAUAGCGGUUAUUCACAGCUUGUAAAUUACAAUAGAAAGGUUCCUUUCAAAUGGUAGAGUUGCACUAAAGAGGAAAUUGGGUUUAUAAGAAAAUGGAGGCAAAGAACUUAAGUUUUAAGAAAAAGCACUUCAAAACAGAAGGGCAAAUGGAAAAGGGGGAUAUAAAACAAACCAAUAAAAAUACCAUCUGAGGGUGUUACUGUCCAAAAUUAAAGAAUAAGAUGCAUCACUAAGCCCUUUGCACUCGUGUUGACCUCGUAAGUAAAAAUUAUUACUUAGAAUAAUAAUAAGUGGUGCACACUACAUUCCCUGUCCCUCUUCUAGACUUUUUUUUUGUAGAAGAAUCAGAAAACAAUUUACUAACCUCCCUGUUUGAUAUUAAAAACUCAAUAGGAAGGUUUUUAAUAUUUUCUGUCAGUACAAGUUGAACUUGAUUGUGUCAACUGAAACCCUAGAGGUUUGUGUAUCAGUAGAAUGCAAGAACAUUGUUAAAGUUGCUUACAAUCUUUUUUGUUUUCCUUUCCAUUCCAUUGUAUCAAUUUUUUGAGUAACUUUCAAAUGGCUAGAAAAUGGUCUUUUUGCUUUGCCCUUUUAUAGCUGAAAUAACCAGCUCCAUUCUUUUCAUGAGUAGUAAGUUGAUAUAUUUAUUUAUCAGGUAUCUUUCAGUUGUCACUAAAUACUGUAGUUUUCUUGUGUUGUAUGGAAAUUAUAGUUCAAUUAUUCU